RNAcentral lists this ribosomal RNA (346 nucleotides) under Escherichia coli. RNAcentral describes it as "partial 23S ribosomal RNA". It matches the Rfam family "Bacterial large subunit ribosomal RNA", at positions 2585 to 2925 of the family's 2925-position model. The record is from RNAcentral. Lineage: Bacteria; Pseudomonadati; Pseudomonadota; Gammaproteobacteria; Enterobacterales; Enterobacteriaceae.
CAUUUAAAGUGGUACGCGAGCUGGGUUUAGAACGUCGUGAGACAGUUCGGUCCCUAUCUGCCGUGGGCGCUGGAGAACUGAGGGGGGCUGCUCCUAGUACGAGAGGACCGGAGUGGACGCAUCACUGGUGUUCGGGUUGUCAUGCCAAUGGCACUGCCCGGUAGCUAAAUGCGGAAGAGAUAAGUGCUGAAAGCAUCUAAGCACGAAACUUGCCCCGAGAUGAGUUCUCCCUGACCCUUUAAGGGUCCUGAAGGAACGUUGAAGACGACGACGUUGAUAGGCCGGGUGUGUAAGCGCAGCGAUGCGUUGAGCUAACCGGUACUAAUGAACCGUGAGGCUUAACCUU